UACGGAGGGAGCUAGCGUUGUUCGGAAUUACUGGGCGUAAAGCGCACGUAGGCGGCUCAGCAAGUCAGGGGUGAAAUCCCGGGGCUCAACCCCGGAACUGCCCUUGAAACUGCAGUGCUAGAAUCUUGGAGAGGCGAGUGGAAUUCCGAGUGUAGAGGUGAAAUUCGUAGAUAUCAGGAGGAACACCGGUGGCGAAGGCGGCUCUCUGGACGGUGACUGACGCUGAGACGCGAAAGCGUGGGGAGCAAACAGG
RNAcentral lists this ribosomal RNA (253 nucleotides) under uncultured bacterium. Its description in RNAcentral is "partial 16S ribosomal RNA". It matches the Rfam family "Bacterial small subunit ribosomal RNA", at positions 524 to 776 of the family's 1533-position model. The record is from RNAcentral.